Long non-coding RNA from Eriocheir sinensis (Chinese mitten crab), 772 nucleotides. RefSeq lists it as uncharacterized. The transcript is spliced from 4 exons. Lineage: Eukaryota; Metazoa; Arthropoda; Malacostraca; Decapoda; Varunidae. The record is from RefSeq and is a predicted model, not a curated record.
UCAAGCUUUUAAUAUGUGUUCUUGAAGCCAUGGUUGUAUUUGGCUCGGUGUGCUGGAUAUCCCUUCACUGGUAGCCUGGUAACAUACACUCCCAGGUCUUUCUCUGUGGUGGAUAGUGGAGUGUUUCCCAUGUGGUAUUGGUGUGCUGGAUAUCCCUUCACUGGUAGCCUGGUAACAUACACUCCCAGGUCUUUCUCUGCCUCUGUGGUGGAUAGUGGAGUGUUUCCCAUGUGGUAUUGGUGUGCUGGAUAUCCCUUCACUGGUAGCCUGGUAACAUACACUCCCAGGUCUUUCUCUGCCUCUGUGGUGGAUAGUGGAGUGUUUCCCAUGUGGUGUUGGUGUGCUGAUAUCCCUUCACUGGUAGCCUGGUAACAUACACUCCCAGGUCUUUCUCUGCCUCUGUGGUGGAUAGUGGAGUGUUUCCCAUGUGGUGUUGGUGUGCUGGAUAUCCCUUCACUGGUAGCCUGGUAACAUACACUCCCAGGUCUUUCUCUGCCUCUGUGGUGGAUAGUGGAGUGUUUCCCAUGUGGUAUUGGUGUGCUGGAUAUCCCUUCACUGGUAGCCUGGUAACAUACACUCCCAGGUCUUUCUCUGCCUCUGUGGUGGAUAGUGGAGUGUUUCCCAUGUGGUGUUGGUGUGCUGGAUAUCCCUUCACUGGUAGCCUGGUAACAUACACUCCCAGGUCUUUCUCUGCCUCUGUGGUGGAUAGUGGAGUGUUUCCCAUGUGGUGUUGGUGUGCUGGAUAUCCCCUCCUGUAGCUUGGUGAUAUCUU